AACAACUCUUUAGAUCUACCAAAAAAUGGCGGACAGAAAGACGUUUGCUUUCCAGGCUGAGGUUAAUUAGCUUCUCAGUCUUAUUAUCAACACUUUCUACAACUACAAGGAGGUCUUCUUGGCGAACUCAUAAGCAAUUCUUCCAAUGUACUAUGGAGAUAGGCCACACUUCUUUGCUGAAGAAUAUGUAAUUCUCACUUGUGUCCUUGAAAUCUUUUCUUCUUUCUAGUUCUUUUUCCUUCUGAAAACAAGUGCAACUUGAACCAAUUUACUUGGUCUCUGUGAGUACAAAUAUGGGAAUAUUUACAUGGUGUCCACCUUGUGACAUUACAAUACUCAUCAAAUUUUACUUUUCAGAAUUGGUAAAGAGAGAGAUACAUGUUAAUGGGUGUGAAAUUAGCUGGCGAGGCUAAUUAAGAAUGUUCAGAAAGCAUAUCAAAUUUUACUUGAAUCAUUCUUCUCAUAAGAAUGAGUUGGAUUGUGCUCAUGACAUAUAAUCAUAUGAAGAGCUAUGGUGACUUAUGGAUGGUAUAAAUAUUGCAAAUUUGAACUUUUCAAACUAUGGAUAACAUAGGCAACUCAAUUGUAUAUCUCUUAGACUUCUAUCUACGUAAAGAAAUUCUCUGUUUCAUUUGAUUAGAAUUGCCACUACAAAAAUGAUUGAUCUAAACAGGCACAAGAAUUGUUUUGCCAAUG
Molecule: long non-coding RNA, 696 nt
Organism: Solanum stenotomum
Lineage: Eukaryota; Viridiplantae; Streptophyta; Magnoliopsida; Solanales; Solanaceae
Exons: 3
Source: RefSeq, a predicted model, not a curated record